CGCGGCCUCUGCCGGGAGACCUACACGCCAGGGUGUGGAGGGAGCAGGGGGGGGCGGCCGCGCUGAGCGCCCGGAGGAGCCCGCCUCGCAAGCUGGGGUCGCGGGGACAAAGUCAGGGCUCGGUAUGGAGUCCUGUGUGGAACCUACCAUGCUGAAGGAUGAUGGAUGGAGCAGUCACUGAGGAGCGCUUGGAGGGCCGCUGCCCAUGUGCCUACCCAGGUACACACGAAGGACUUGCCCACAGUUGCCGCACACGAAGGAGUGCAACCGCUGGCUAUGUGGGUGCCCCAAUGAGUGAGCCGUUUCCACCAAUGGCCGAAGGCCCCGUGCACUCCCUGGGGCUUCUCACUGCCGGGUCCUCUGGUGCUCGAUAAGGAUUACCAAAAUUGGGACUUCUUGUGCCCAUGGGUGCACUGUUGUUGAAGGAGCUUCAAGCUCUUGCAGAAAAGUUCUGCUCUGGCUCCACAGAAAGGGCCUCUCCUCAGAAUGAAUUAUCCGGUUUCUGCCCACCACACAAAGGCCUUAUUGCUGUUGAGGCAGGCAUGAGUCUGCUUGCACUCAGGGGGUUGGAGCCCCAAUUGAAGGACCCCUUCGGUCAAGUGGCUGGGCCCUUUGGGGUCUGGCUAGAGGGAACAUCCCCUUGGAGGCAGAGACCUCAUCAGGAGGUAAGGAGCUCCAUGCUGCCCCAUUAUCCUCCCACCAGCCAGCUUGGGUGAGCAACCACAGUGUUCGCUGCCUCUGGCAAGCCAACCAAAACAAGUCCACGUCCCAGCUAGACUCCAGGGUCUAGGUUUAGGAGGCGACAAACAGGAGGGGGAUGUGUAGGGCCGGCACAAGAUCUUCGAGUUGGCCACAUGGUCAAGGGUGGGGCACCCACUACCCCCGUGCCGACCCCCCUGCACCCGUCCAUUGAUCUCGCAUCAACGCAUGGCCGAGAUGCAUCAAACAGUGGGGUUUGCCCCCCAAGCCACCUGCUGGGCACAGCACCUGGUCCCACGUCCGGAGCUCCUCCCCUACCCUCAAGCUAUGAAGAGGCGGCUGGAGCUGCAGGGGUCGAAGAGAAAUGAUGGGGGUACCCUGGCAUGGGGUGAAGAGAGGUCAAACCGGAAAGGGUCUCCUCUGGGAGGCUCAGGCCCGCAGCAACCCCGGGCGUGCAAGCGUGCGGGAGGCCGAC
This is a long non-coding RNA of Herpailurus yagouaroundi (jaguarundi), 1174 nucleotides long. RefSeq lists it as uncharacterized. NCBI's taxonomy places the organism in Eukaryota, Metazoa, Chordata, Mammalia, Carnivora, Felidae. The record is from RefSeq and is a predicted model, not a curated record. The transcript has 3 exons.